This 309-nucleotide ribosomal RNA is filed under the name uncultured bacterium. Its description in RNAcentral is "bacterial SSU rRNA". It matches the Rfam family "Bacterial small subunit ribosomal RNA", at positions 28 to 334 of the family's 1533-position model. The record is from RNAcentral.
GACGAACGCUGGCGGCGUGCCUAACACAUGCAAGUCGAACGGGACUUGCCCCUUCGGGGACAAGUUUAGUGGCGAACGGGUGAGUAACGCGUGAGGAACCUGCCUUUCAGUGGGGGACAACAGUUGGAAACGACUGCUAAUACCGCAUAAGCCCACAGGUCGGCAUCGACCAGAGGGAAAAGGAGCAAUCCGCUUUGAGAUGGCCUCGCGUCCGAUUAGCUAGUUGGUGAGGUAACGGCCCACCAAGCCGACGAUCAGUAGCCGACCUGAGAGGGUGACCGGCCACAUUGGGACUGAGACACGGCCCAG